This 407-nucleotide ribosomal RNA is filed under the name Sceloporus spinosus. RNAcentral describes it as "partial 12S ribosomal RNA". It matches the Rfam family "Bacterial small subunit ribosomal RNA", at positions 499 to 1076 of the family's 1533-position model. The record is from RNAcentral. Lineage: Eukaryota; Metazoa; Chordata; Lepidosauria; Squamata; Phrynosomatidae.
AACCUCGUGCCAGCCACCGCGGUUAUACGAGGGGCCCGAAGAAGCAGACCUCGGCGUAAAUAGGGGCUAGAAUAAUUACCAACACAUUAAAAACUAAACCCUAGCCUAGCCGUAAAACACAGGCUAAAUGAAACCAAACAUUUUUAACAAUAGGUAAUUUGAUCCACGUAAACUUAGAAACAACUAGGAUUAGAUACCCUACUAUGCUUAGUCGUUAAUAUGAUAUUGUACCACUAAAAUAUCCGCCAGAAAACUACGAGCGAAAAGCUUAAAACUCAAAGGACUUGGCGGUGCUCCACACCGACUUAGAGGAGCCUGUCCUGUAAUCGAUACCCCACGCUAAACCUCACCAAUCUUUGCCAAAUCAGCCUAUAUACCGCCGUCGACAACCUACCUCAUGAGAGAAA